GAUAAACGCUGGCGGCGUGCUUAACACAUGCAAGUCGAACGAUGAAGCUCAGCUUGCUGGGUGGAUUAGUGGCGAACGGGUGAGUAACACGUGAGUAACCUGCCCUUAACUCUGGGAUAAGCCUGGGAAACUAGGUCUAAUACCGGAUAGGAGCGCCUACCGCAUGGUGGGUGUUGGAAAGAUUUAUCGGUUUUGGAUGGACUCGCGGCCUAUCAGCUUGUUGGUGAGGUAAUGGCUCACCAAGGCGACGACGGGUAGCCGGCCUGAGAGGGUGACCGGCCACACUGGGACUGAGACACGGCCCAGACUCCUACGGGAGGCAGCAGUGGGGAAUAUUGCACAAUGGGCGAAAGCCUGAUGCAGCGACGCCGCGUGAGGGAUGACGGCCUUCGGGUUGUAAACCUCUUUCAGUAGGGAAGAAGCGAAAGUGACGGUACCUGCAGAAGAAGCACCGGCUAACUACGUG
This 466-nucleotide ribosomal RNA is filed under the name uncultured bacterium. RNAcentral describes it as "partial 16S ribosomal RNA". It matches the Rfam family "Bacterial small subunit ribosomal RNA", at positions 28 to 507 of the family's 1533-position model. The record is from RNAcentral.